UUGUCAUCAGUGGCUCAGUGCAUCUGGCUGUUAACCAGAAGGUUGGUGGUUCAAGCCCACCCAA
Molecule: non-coding RNA, 64 nt
Organism: Podarcis lilfordi (Lilford's wall lizard)
Lineage: Eukaryota; Metazoa; Chordata; Lepidosauria; Squamata; Lacertidae
Source: the annotation of a GenBank genome assembly